GUACAACUCUGGAGACCUUACCUCCUUAAGCAUAAACUUUUUUAUCAAGACUAAUCAAAGAAGCCUCAAGUAUCUUUUAGGGCAACGCAUCAUUACCCUAGAACAAAAAAAAUGGAUGUUUAAGCUCUUCGAGUAUGAUUGAGAUUCUCUAAAAACUAGGAAAUGAAAACUCUGCUGCAGAUGCCCUCUCUCGUAAAGAAGGAAGGCCCAUCUUGCAUAACAUAUCCACUCUUCACUGUAAUAUCUAGGACAACGUUCAGAAGACAGCACUCAAACAUCCUUAUAUG
RNAcentral lists this long non-coding RNA (287 nucleotides) under Carica papaya (papaya). RNAcentral's name for it is "long non-coding RNA (CPAP_LNC011324)". Lineage: Eukaryota; Viridiplantae; Streptophyta; Magnoliopsida; Brassicales; Caricaceae. The record is from RNAcentral.